CCUACGGGUGGCAGCAGUGAGGAAUAUUGGUCAAUGGACGAGAGUCUGAAGCAGCCAAGUAGCGUGAAGGAUGACUGCCCUCUGGGUUGUAAACUUCUUUUAUAUGGGAAUAAAAUGUUCCACGUGUGGGAUUUUGUAUGUACCAUAUGAGUAAGGGUAGGCUAACUCCGUGCCAGCAGCGGAGGUAAUACGGAGGAUCCGAGGGUUAUCCGGAUUGAUUGGGGUUAAAGGGAGCGUAGGUGGAUUGUUAAGUCAGUUGUGAAAGUUUGCGGCUCAACCGUAAAACUGCAGUUGAAACUGGCAGUCUUGAGUACAGGAGAGGAGGGCGGAAUUCGUGGUGUAGCGGUGAAAUGCUUAGAUAUCACGAAGAACGCCGAUGGCGAAGGCAGUUAACUGGAAUGUAACUGACACUGAGGCGCGAAAGUGUGGGUAUCAAACAGGAUUAGAUACCCUUGUAGUC
This 460-nucleotide ribosomal RNA is filed under the name uncultured bacterium. RNAcentral's name for it is "partial 16S ribosomal RNA". It matches the Rfam family "Bacterial small subunit ribosomal RNA", at positions 338 to 795 of the family's 1533-position model. The record is from RNAcentral.